GAUGAACGCUGGCGGCGUGCCUAAUACAUGCAAGUCGAGCGAACAGACGAGGAGCUUGCUCCUCUGACGUUAGCGGCGGACGGGUGAGUAACACGUGGAUAACCUACCUAUAAGACUGGGAUAACUUCGGGAAACCGGAGCUAAUACCGGAUAAUAUAUUGAACCGCAUGGUUCAAUAGUGAAAGACGGUUUUGCUGUCACUUAUAGAUGGAUCCGCGCCGCAUUAGCUAGUUGGUAAGGUAACGGCUUACCAAGGCGACGAUGCGUAGCCGACCUGAGAGGGUGGACCGCCAAACUGGAACUGAGACACGGUCCCGACUCCUACGGGAGGCAGCCAUAGGGAAUCUUCCGCAAUGGGCGAAAGCCUGACGGAGCAACGCCGCGUGGGUGAUGAAGGUCUUCGGAUCGUAAAACUCUGUUAAUAGGGAAGAACAAAUGUGUAAGUAAAUAUGCACGUCUUGACGGUACCUAAUCAGAAAGCCACGGCUAACUACGUG
Molecule: ribosomal RNA, 497 nt
Filed under: uncultured bacterium
Lineage: Bacteria
Description: partial 16S ribosomal RNA
Rfam family: Bacterial small subunit ribosomal RNA
Source: RNAcentral